UUUCGAUGUUUCGAUUUGAAUGGUCUGAGGUUUCAUUCGAACAGGGGACGGUGGUUUGUUACAGUGUAGGGUUGCAAAUGGGAAACGCAGCAAAAAGACAAAAUUCUUCUUCGUUAUGCCCUUCUUCAUAUCCUAUGCAUGCUAUCGUGGUCAGCAAAUACGACAAAGAACUCAAAGAAGACGUUAGCUGUUGCUUGUUGUGUUUUAUUCGCUCCCUGCACCGCACGGAGAGUACCGCUCAUUGUGUGGAUCGCUUUCUCACAUAUUAGUUGAAAAAGAGUGUGCAAAGUAAAUUGGAGAACCACACACUGUUUGUCGAGUGUUGUGAGAUGCACGCACAAAGUUGCUUUGCUAACGCUCUGAGGUGCUUUCCAGCCCUGCUGGUCUUAGAAAACUUUUCAAGAGCAAAAAUUUUAAGAGAAAGUUCCGGUUAUUAUCCGGUUUUCCCUGCUUUAGGGAUGUCCAGAAAAGUUCAGGUAUAAUAAGAGGUUUUAGGGCAAGUUCCGCAAAGUUACGAAGAAGUUUCUACAACUUCAGGAGAAAUACGGGAAAUUAGCGGGAACUAUUGAAAAGUACUGAGAAAUUCAGGGAAGUCUAAAGAACUUAACGAAAUUCAGACGUCCUUUGGUCAGUUAUAAUAACAUCAGAAAUGCAUGUUCAACAUCAUGGAAACCUAGAUUUUUGGAGAAGUUUUAAGAUGAUUUAAGGACUGUUCCAUGAAUUUCCGAAAAUUUUCUGAACUGAACCUAAUUGCAAAUCUAAGAACUACAUUAAGGGAAAUAAAUGUUUUCGGCACGUUUUUACUUUUCUAAAAAUAUUGGAAAAAAAUAUCCAUAUUUAUUUAGAUACCUGAGAAAAUUUACAUGUAAAAAUAUUGUUUUCUAUCUCACCAUACAAACAAAUUGGACCCUCAGCAAAACCAAAAGGUCGAUGUUUUGUGGUUUUUGAAGUCCAACUUUACGCCAUGAUGACUUUGAAAAAAUUGCGCGUGAAUUUUCUUUACAAAAUUUAAAAAAAAUGUGAUUAUCGAAACGAUAAACUUACCCUUAAUAAUUUCGUUAUAAUUUCAGCAAAAAUAGUGGAACCUUCGGAAAGUUCCGGAAAUUUCACGAUCCAAAUUACUCCGGAGCAGUUAAGAAAUUUUAGGAAAACAUCGAGAACUUCAAGAAAACUCCGAAAAUUUCCAUAAUCAUCAGAAAAUGUUAGGGAAUAUCUGAGAAUUUCAGAAAAACUCCGAGAGCCUCAGUUUAUUGAACAUUAGCAAAAGUCGGGAGCAUUUCAAAUGAAGUGCCGUAAGCUUCAGAUUUUGGGUAAGUUUUACGAUCAUUUAGGCUUGGUUGUGAGAUUUCUGAAAAAUUUCGAGAACUACAGUGAAGAUCAAAGUGCCUCAAGGGAAGUCAUAUUAACUUUAGCAAAGUGCAGGAACGUUACAGAAAUUGCCAAAACGAUAAUUAAGUUUAAAGUUCUAAAGGGAAGUCACCUGAACUCCGGGGUGGUUUUGAGAACUAAAGGACAGUUUCGUGAAUAUCAGAUUUUUUUUCCUUGGAUUUGUUUUUCGUCGAUCUUGUUUUCCGUGCUGAGCACCAAUGCUACCGACGCCAGGAAGGCAGCUCCCACACCUGGACCCUAUCUAUCGACCCACCAACUCAUGAACCGGGGACCAACGGCUUUACUUCCCUUCCGAAGGAAGGCGUGAUCAGAGAUGUUAUGCCUCAGAACAUCCCGGUGGCGCCGACUGGGAUUGAACCCAGGCGUGCUGGGGUGAGAGGUAAUCACGCUUAUCACUACAACACCAGCGCCGAAUAUCAGAAUGAUUGCGGGAAGUUUAGGGAAGUUCCGAGAAUUACUGGUUCAUUUAGAGGACUUAAGGUCAGUUACAUUGAAAAUAGCGAGAACAUUCAAGAAGUUCCAAAAACUAAAGAUGGUCUUGAAAACAUCAGGGAAGUUAAGAGAACUUAAGAAAAAAAUUCGGGAACUUCACAGAAGUUCCGAAAAGUUCACGGAAGUGCAGAAAACAUCAUGAAGCUUAGAUCAUUAAUACAGUUUCAUCAAUUUCAGGGCGAAGAGAUAAAACCAGCCCAGGACAAUUCCAGGCACAUCAUCAGACCAAGAGUAGCGCGAACUUCAGAGUGGUCCACACAACUUUUAAAAAAUCCAAGGAAUCGUGGAGUUUCAUGAACUGACACCAAGGCAGCUUCAAGGAAACUGCGGCAACUUUUACGAGGUUCUAGAAAGUCGAGAAAACUUUAGAGAAAUCCAGACAACUUGAGGCAAAUCGUAAAAAAACUGUAAAGAAGAUCCAAGAACGUUAGGGAAGCUAUGUCUAUAAAUGCCCCGUAACGUGGGUAGAUCACCUUUUCGUGGUGCGUUACGGGAUGUAAGAUCUACCACCGAUUCCUAGUCCUGACUACUUCAAACUAGGGAACAGGAUUUUUCAGUAAUCCAAGGAACACAUCUUAGUCCUUGUUACUUUUUAUGCCUUGUUGAUAGUGACAAGACUCGGCUUUGUCUA
Ochlerotatus camptorhynchus is the source of this 2512-nucleotide long non-coding RNA. RefSeq lists it as uncharacterized. Lineage: Eukaryota; Metazoa; Arthropoda; Insecta; Diptera; Culicidae. The transcript has 3 exons. The record is from RefSeq and is a predicted model, not a curated record.